This 423-nucleotide ribosomal RNA is filed under the name uncultured bacterium. RNAcentral's name for it is "bacterial SSU rRNA". It matches the Rfam family "Bacterial small subunit ribosomal RNA", at positions 207 to 622 of the family's 1533-position model. The record is from RNAcentral.
AAGACCUUGCACUUUUGGAGCGGCCGAUGUCUGAUUAGCUAGUUGGUGGGGUAAUGGCCUACCAAAGCUUCGAUCAGUAGCUGGUCUGAGAGGACGGCCAGCCACACUGGGACUGAGACACGGCCCAGACUCCUACGGGAGGCAGCAGUGGGGAAUUUUGGACAAUGGGCGCAAGCCUGAUCCAGCAAUGCCGCGUGAGUGAAGAAGGCCUUCGGGUUGUAAAGCUCUUUCAGCCGGGAAGAAAAGGUUGCGACUAAUAAUCGCAAUCCAUGACGGUACCGAAAGAAGAAGCACCGGCUAACUACGUGCCAGCAGCCGCGGUAAUACGUAGGGUGCGAGCGUUAAUCGGAAUUACUGGGCGUAAAGGGUGCGCAGGCGGUUUUGUAAGUCAGAUGUGAAAUCCCCGGGCUUAACCUGGGAACU